Molecule: ribosomal RNA, 360 nt
Filed under: uncultured organism
Description: eukaryotic LSU rRNA
Rfam family: 5.8S ribosomal RNA (bases 2-126)
Source: RNAcentral
GGCAUCGAUGAAGAACGCAGCGAAAUGCGAUAAGUAAUGUGAAUUGCAGAAUUCAGUGAAUCAUCGAAUCUUUGAACGCACAUUGCGCCCGCCAGUAUUCUGGCGGGCAUGCCUGUUCGAGCGUCAUUACAACCCUCAGGCCCCCGGGCCUGGCGUUGGGGAUCGGCGGAAGCCCCCUGCGGGCACAACGCCGUCCCCCAAAUACAGUGGCGGUCCCGCCGCAGCUUCCAUUGCGUAGUAGCUAACACCUCGCAACUGGAGAGCGGCGCGGCCACGCCGUAAAACACCCAACUUCUGAAUGUUGACCUCGAAUCAGGUAGGAAUACCCGCUGAACUUAAGCAUAUCAAUAAGCGGAGGAA